AAGUCGUAACAAGGUAACCGUAGGUGAACCUGCGGUUGGAUCAUUACUGAUAUCUAUCUUCCAGGCAUGUUGAUACCCUUUGGGAAUCCGUGUCUGGGGAUAAACAACCCUUUGUGCACCAUGUUGUUUUUUGGCAGCUUAUCUUGCCUGGGCCUUCGGGUUUGGGCAGAGGGUUGUCAGCUUUAUUUACAAACCUUUAUAUAAUUUGUCUUAUAUCUCUAUGAAAAUAGAAACAACUUUUGACAACGGAUCUCUUGGCUCUC
Molecule: unclassified non-coding RNA, 263 nt
Filed under: Chytridiomycota sp.
Lineage: Eukaryota; Fungi; Chytridiomycota
Description: partial contains small subunit ribosomal RNA, internal transcribed spacer 1, and 5.8S ribosomal RNA
Rfam family: Eukaryotic small subunit ribosomal RNA (bases 1-46)
Source: RNAcentral